CUGAUUAGAGGUAGACGCAGAGAACUGAAACAUCUUAGUACCUGCAGGAAGAGAAAGAAAAUUCGAUUCCCUGAGUAGCGGCGAGCGAAACGGGAAGAGCCCAAACCAACAAGCUUGCUUGUUGGGGUUGUAGGACUCCGAUAUGGUAGUCUGUUAGUAUAGUUGAAGGAUUUGGAAAAUUCCGCUAAAGAGGGUGAAAGCCCCGUAGACGAAAUGCUGACAACACCUAGGAGGAUCCUGAGUACGGCGGAACACGAGAAAUUCCGUCGGAAUCCGCGGGGACCAUCCCGCAAGGCUAAAUACUCCCUAGUGACCGAUAGUGAACCAGUACCGUGAGGGAAAGGUGAAAAGCACCCCGGAAGGGGAGUGAAAUAGAUCCUGAAACCGUGUGCCUACAACAAGUCAAAGCUCGUUAAUGAGUGAUGGCGUGCCUUUUGUAGAAUGAACCGGCGAGUUACGAUUGCAUGCGAGGUUAAGUCGAAGAGACGGAGCCGCAGCGAAA
This 502-nucleotide ribosomal RNA is filed under the name Enterococcus faecalis. RNAcentral describes it as "partial 23S ribosomal RNA". It matches the Rfam family "Bacterial large subunit ribosomal RNA", at positions 169 to 676 of the family's 2925-position model. The record is from RNAcentral. Lineage: Bacteria; Bacillati; Bacillota; Bacilli; Lactobacillales; Enterococcaceae.